RNAcentral lists this ribosomal RNA (1287 nucleotides) under metagenome. RNAcentral's name for it is "bacterial LSU rRNA". It matches the Rfam family "Bacterial large subunit ribosomal RNA", at positions 1608 to 2910 of the family's 2925-position model. The record is from RNAcentral.
GCUCGAACUACUGUAAAGCAUUAAGUACCUGUACCGUAAACCGACACAGGUGGGUUGGUAGAGUAUACCAAGGGGCGCGAGAUAACUCUCUCUAAGGAACUCGGCAAAAUGACCCCGUAACUUCGGGAGAAGGGGUGCCAAGUAACUUAAAUUGCUUGGUCGCAGUGACCAGGCCCUGGCGACUGUUUAUCAAAAACACAGGUCUCCGCAAAGUCGUAAGACAACAUAUGGGGGCUGACGCCUGCCCAGUGCCGGAAGGUUAAAGAAGUUGGUUAUUCAUUUUUGGAGAAGCUGACGACUGAAGCCCCGGUGAACGGCGGCCGUAACAAUAACGGUCCUAAGGUAGCGAAAUUCCUUGUCGGGUAAGUUCCGACCCGCACGAAAGGCGUAACGAUCAGGGCACUGUCUCGGAGAGAGACUCGGUGAAAUAGACAUGUCUGUGAAGAUGCGGACUACCUGCACCUGGACAGAAAGACCCUAUGAAGCUUGACUGUAGCUUGGAAUUGGGUUCGGGCUCUUCUUGCGCAGCCUAGGUGGGAGGCGUUGAAAGCUUUCUUUUGGGAAAGCUGGAGCCAUCAGUGAGAGACCACUCUGGAGGAGCUAGAAUUCUAAUGGCGUUCCUUGAAGCAGGACGCUUGACAGUUUCAGGUGGGCAGUUUGACUGGGGCGGUCACCUCCUAAAAGGUAACGGAGGUGUGCAAAGGUUCCCUCAGGCUGGACGGAAAUCAGCCGUAGAGUGUAAAGGCAGAAGGGAGCUUGACUGCAAGACCUACAAGUCGAGCAGGGGCGAAAGCCGGCCUUAGUGAUCCGACGGUUCCAUGUGGAAGGGCCGUCGCUCAACGGAUAAAAGUUACUCUAGGAUAACAGGCUGAUCUUCCCCAAGAGUUCACAUCGACGGGAAGGUUUGGCACCUCGAUGUCGGCUCAUCGCAACCUGGGGCGGUAGUACGUCCCAAGGGUUGGGCUGUUCGCCCAUGAAAGCGGUACGUGAGCUGGGUUCAGAACGUCGUGAGACAGUUCGGUCCAUAUCCGGUGUAGGCGCUAGAGCAUUGAGAGGAGCCUUCCAUAGUACGAGAGGACCUGGAAGGACGCACCUCUGGUAUACCAGUUAUCAUGCCAAUGGUACACGCUGGGUAGCCAUGUGCGGAGUGGAUAACCGCUGAAAGCAUCUAAGUGGGAAGCCCACCUCAAGAUGAGUGCUCUCCAUUAGGUCACAGGAAGACAACCUGUUUGAUAGGCAGAAGGUGUAAGGCCAGUAAUGGUUUCAGCUGAUCUGUACUAAUAGACC